Molecule: ribosomal RNA, 274 nt
Filed under: uncultured bacterium
Lineage: Bacteria
Description: partial 16S ribosomal RNA
Rfam family: Bacterial small subunit ribosomal RNA
Source: RNAcentral
CUACGGGGGGUGCAAGCGUUAUUCGGAUUUAUUGGGCGUAAAGAGCGCGUAGGCGGCUUGGUAAGUCAGAUGUGAAAGCCCGGGGCUCAACCCCGGAAGUGCAUUUGAAACUAUCAGGCUUGAGUAUGUGAGAGGGAAGUGGAAUUCCUGGUGUAGAGGUGAAAUUCGUAGAUAUCAGGAGGAACACCGGUGGCGAAGGCGACUUCCUGGACCAAUACUGACGCUGAGGCGCGAAGGCGUGGGGAGCAAACAGAAUUAGAAACCCCGGUAGUCC